GAACCUGCGGAAGGAUCAUUAAAGAAUACAAGGCUUUCGAGUCCUAUUCUCACCCUUUGUUUAUCAACUCUGUUGCUUUGGCAGGCCUCCGGCUUCGGCUGGGUCGUGUCUGUCAAGGGCCUAACUCUUGAAUUUUUGCAGUCUGAGUACUAUAUAAUAGUUAAAACUUUCAACAACGGAUCUCUUGGUUCUGGCAUCGAUGAAGAACGCAGCGAAAUGCGAUAAUUAAUGUGAAUUGCAGACUCAGUGAAUCAUCGAAUCUUUGAACGCACAUUGCGCCCUCUGGUAUUCCGGGGGGCAUGCCUGUUCGAGCGUCAUUACAACCCUCAAGCUCAGCUUGGUGUUGGGCUCGCCCUGUAGGGCCUGCCUCAAAGUCAGUGGCGGCACUGUCCGACCCUUAAGCGUAGUAUUACUCGUCGCUUUUUCGGUCGGAUUGCGCCUGCCAGCCAACCCCCACCAUCAAGGUUGACCUCGGAUCAGGUAGGGAUACCCGCUGAACUUAAGCAUAUCAAUAACCGGGAGGAGGAU
This 528-nucleotide ribosomal RNA is filed under the name Rhytismataceae sp. ZLY-2010. Its description in RNAcentral is "eukaryotic LSU rRNA". The stretch from base 165 to 317 matches the Rfam family "5.8S ribosomal RNA". Lineage: Eukaryota; Fungi; Ascomycota; Leotiomycetes; Rhytismatales; Rhytismataceae. The record is from RNAcentral.